GCAUAACUCCGGGAAACUGGGGAUAAUUCCGGAUAACGCACAUAUGCUGGAAUGCUUUAUGCGUAAAAUGGAUUCGUCUGCCCAAGGAUGGGUCUGCGGCCUAUCAGGUAGUAGUGGGUGUAAUGUACCUACUAGCCAACAACGGGUACGGGUUGUGAGAGCAAGAGCCCGGAGAUGGAUUCUGAGACAUGAAUCCAGGCCCUACGGGGCGCAGCAGGCGCGAAAACUUUACAAUGCGGGAAACCGUGAUAAGGGGACACCGAGUGCCAGCAUCAUAUGCUGGCUGUCCAGGUGUGUAAAAUACACCUGUUAGCAAGGGCCGGGCAAGACCGGUGCCAGCCGCCGCGGUAACACCGGCGGCCCGAGUGGUGAUCGUGAUUAUUGGGUCUAAAGGGUCCGUAGCCGGUUUGGUCAGUCCUCCGGGAAAUCUGACGGCUCAACCGUUAGGCUUUCGGGGGAUACUGCCAGGCUUGGAACCGGGAGAGGUAAGAGGUACUACAGGGGUAGGAGUGAAAUCUUGUAAUCCCUGUGAGACCACCUGUGGCGAAGGCGUCUUACCAGAACGGGUUCGACGGUGAGGGACGAAAGCUGGGGGCACGAACCGGAUUAGAUACCCGGGUAGUCCCAGCCGUAAACGAUGCUCGCUAGGUGUCAGGCAUGGCGCGACCGUGUCUGGUGCCGCAGGGAAGCCGUGAAGCGAGCCACCUGGGAAGUACGGCCGCAAGGCUGAAACUUAAAG
This 739-nucleotide ribosomal RNA is filed under the name uncultured archaeon S15-19. RNAcentral describes it as "bacterial SSU rRNA". It matches the Rfam family "Archaeal small subunit ribosomal RNA", at positions 124 to 861 of the family's 1478-position model. The record is from RNAcentral.